UCUCCGUAGGUGAACCAGCGGAGGGAUCAUUACAGAGUUCAUGCCCUCCGGGUAGUUCUCCCACCCAUUUCUAUCACUACUCUCCGUGCUUUGGCGGGCCGCUGGGCCGUGCCCGGCCUCCGGACCUGGCUGCCGCCCCGCCGCCAGAUACCUGGCAGACUCUGAAAGUUAUUAUCGUCCGAAUAACGAUAUAAUUGUUAAAACCUUCAACAAAGGAUCUCGUGGUUCUGACAUCCAUGCAGAACACAGCAAAUCGGAAGAGCACACCUCGGAACUCCA
RNAcentral lists this unclassified non-coding RNA (279 nucleotides) under plant metagenome. Its description in RNAcentral is "partial contains small subunit ribosomal RNA, internal transcribed spacer 1, and 5.8S ribosomal RNA". The record is from RNAcentral.